Molecule: ribosomal RNA, 253 nt
Filed under: uncultured bacterium
Lineage: Bacteria
Description: partial 16S ribosomal RNA
Rfam family: Bacterial small subunit ribosomal RNA
Source: RNAcentral
UACGAAGGGGGCUAGCGUUGCUCGGAAUUACUGGGCGUAAAGCGCACGUAGGCGGAUUGUUAAGUCGGGGGUGAAAUCCUGGAGCUCAACUCCAGAACUGCCUUCGAUACUGGCGAUCUCGAGUUCGGGAGAGGUGGGUGGAACUGCGAGUGUAGAGGUGAAAUUCGUAGAUAUUCGCAAGAACACCAGUGGCGAAGGCGGCUCACUGGCCCGAUACUGACGCUGAGGUGCGAAAGCGUGGGGAGCAAACAGG